This is a long non-coding RNA of Brienomyrus brachyistius, 339 nucleotides long. RefSeq lists it as uncharacterized. Lineage: Eukaryota; Metazoa; Chordata; Actinopteri; Osteoglossiformes; Mormyridae. The record is from RefSeq and is a predicted model, not a curated record. The transcript is spliced from 3 exons.
CCUUAUCAUCCGCAAACCAAUGGCUUGGUGAAGCGGAUGAAUGGGACUAUCCAAAGAACUCUAAGCAAAUUAGUGGGUGAGAGACCAGAUACGUGGGACGUAUAUCUGGAUGCAAUUAUGUUUGGAUUGUGCACAAAAAAACAAACCACAACUAAAUUUUCACCGUACUUCCUCAUGUUUGGAGGCCCGCUACCCUUCUGAGGUGCCAGAACAAUACCAGGUCAUCAAUGGUUAUUUAACAGUUUUGGUGAGAAAGUACAACAGCAGAAAUGCAGGCUGUGCCACUUUGAUUGACAGCUAUACAAUGAGUAACAUCUGGAUGGGUAAAGGAUCACGGCU